CCUACGGGUGGCAGCAGUGGGGGAUAUUGGACAAUGGGGGAAACCCUGAUCCAGCGAUGCCGCGUGAGGGAAGAAGGUUCUCGGAUUGUAAACCCUCGUGGAGGGGGACGAUAAUGACGGUACCUCUCUAGGAAGCUACGGCUAACUACGUGCCAGCAGCCGCGGUAAUACGUAGGUGGCGAGCGUUGUCCGGAAUUACUGGGUGUAAAGGGAGUGUAGGCGGGAAAGCAAGUCAGAAGUGAAAACUAUGGGCUUAACCCAUAGCCUGCUGUUGAAACUGUUUUUCUUGAGUGAAGUAGAGGCAGGCGGAAUGCCUGGUGUAGCGGUGAAAUGCGUAGAUAUUAGGAAGAACACCGGUGGCGAAGGCAGCUUGCUGGGCUUUUACUGACGCUGAUGCUCGAAAGCGUGGGGAGCAAACAGGAUUAGAUACCCUAGUAGUC
RNAcentral lists this ribosomal RNA (440 nucleotides) under uncultured bacterium. RNAcentral's name for it is "partial 16S ribosomal RNA". It matches the Rfam family "Bacterial small subunit ribosomal RNA", at positions 338 to 795 of the family's 1533-position model. The record is from RNAcentral.